GACGAACGCUGGCGGCGUGCUUAACACAUGCAAGUCGAACGGAAAGGCCCUGCUUUUGUGGGGUGCUCGAGUGGCGAACGGGUGAGUAACACGUGAGUAACCUGCCCUUGACUUUGGGAUAACUUCAGGAAACUGGGGCUAAUACCGGAUAGGAGCUCCUGCUGCAUGGUGGGGGUUGGAAAGUUUCGGCGGUUGGGGAUGGACUCGCGGCUUAUCAGCUUGUUGGUGGGGUAGUGGCUUACCAAGGCUUUGACGGGUAGCCGGCCUGAGGGGGUGACCGGCCACAUUGGGACUGAGAUACGGCCCAGACUCCUACGGGGGGCAGCAGUGGGGAAUAUUGCACAAUGGGCGGAAGCCUGAUGCAGCAACGCCGCGUGCGGGAUGACGGCCUUCGGGUUGUAAACCGCUUUCGCCUGUGACGAAGCGUGAGUGACGGUAAUGGGUAAAGAAGCACCGGCUAACUACGUG
RNAcentral lists this ribosomal RNA (468 nucleotides) under uncultured bacterium. RNAcentral describes it as "partial 16S ribosomal RNA". It matches the Rfam family "Bacterial small subunit ribosomal RNA", at positions 28 to 507 of the family's 1533-position model. The record is from RNAcentral.